This 497-nucleotide ribosomal RNA is filed under the name uncultured bacterium. RNAcentral describes it as "partial 16S ribosomal RNA". It matches the Rfam family "Bacterial small subunit ribosomal RNA", at positions 28 to 507 of the family's 1533-position model. The record is from RNAcentral.
GAUGAACGCUGGCGGCGUGCCUAAUACAUGCAAGUCGAGCGAACAGACGAGGAGCUUGCUCCUCUGACGUUAGCGGCGGACGGGUGAGUAACACGUGGAUAACCUACCUAUAAGACUGGGAUAACUUCGGGAAACCGGAGCUAAUACCGGAUAAUAUAUUGAACCGCAUGGUUCAAUAGUGAAAGACGGUUUUGCUGUCACUUAUAGAUGGAUCCGCGCCGCAUUAGCUAGUUGGUAAGGUAACGGCUUACCAAGGCAACGAUGAGUAGCCGACCUGAGAGGGUGAUCGGCCACACUGGAACUGAGACACGGUCCAGACUCCUACGGGAGGCAGCAGUAGGGAAUCUUCCGCAAUGGGCGAAAGCCUGACGGAGCAACGCCGCGUGAGUGAUGAAGGUCUUCGGAUCGUAAAACUCUGUUAUUAGGGAAGAACAAAUGUGUAAGUAACUAUGAGCGUCUUGACGGUACCUAAUCAGAAAGCCACGGCUAACUACGUG